GUGCCGUGAUGACCUCUUAGGACACCUUUGGAUUCUCCAUGAAAACAAACCAGUAGAUCCUGAGCACC
This is a small nucleolar RNA of Melanotaenia boesemani (Boeseman's rainbowfish), 68 nucleotides long. RefSeq annotates it as small nucleolar RNA SNORD58. The record is from RefSeq and is a predicted model, not a curated record. Lineage: Eukaryota; Metazoa; Chordata; Actinopteri; Atheriniformes; Melanotaeniidae. The transcript has a single exon.